This is a ribosomal RNA of 437 nucleotides. It matches the Rfam family "Bacterial small subunit ribosomal RNA", at positions 341 to 792 of the family's 1533-position model.
ACGGGAGGCAGCAGUGGGGAAUAUUAGGCAAUGGGGGCAACCCUGACCUAGCAACGCCGCGUGAAGGAAGAAGGCCUUCGGGUUGUAAACUUCUUUUAUGAGGGACGAAGGAAGUGACGGUACCUCAUGAAUAAGCCACGGCUAACUACGUGCCAGCAGCCGCGGUAAUACGUAGGUGGCGAGCGUUGUCCGGAUUUACUGGGUGUAAAGGGCGCGUAGGCGGGAUUGCAAGUCAGAUGUGAAAUCCAUGGGCUCAACCCAUGAACUGCAUUUGAAACUGUUUCUCUUGAGUGCUGGAGAGGUAGAUGGAAUUCCUAGUGUAGCGGUGAAAUGCGUAGAUAUUAGGAAGAACACCAGUGGCGAAGGCGAUCUACUGGACAGUAACUGACGCUGAGGCGCGAAAGCGUGGGGAGCAAACAGGAUUAGAUACCCUGGUA